RNAcentral lists this ribosomal RNA (408 nucleotides) under uncultured bacterium. RNAcentral describes it as "partial 16S ribosomal RNA". It matches the Rfam family "Bacterial small subunit ribosomal RNA", at positions 28 to 526 of the family's 1533-position model. The record is from RNAcentral.
GACGAACGCUGGCGGCGUGCUUAACACAUGCAAGUCGAACGAAGUGGCGAACGGGUGAGUAACGCGUAAUCAACCUGCCCUUCCGAGGGGGACCAACAUUGGACACGACUGCUAAUACCGCAUACGGAAGGAGGGGCUUUCGGCUGAUUAGCUAGUGGGAGGGGUAACUGCCCACCAAGGCGAUGAUCAGUAGCCGGUCUGAGAGGAUGAACGGCAAAAUUGGAACUGAGACACGGCCCAGACUCCGACGGGAGGCAGCAGUGGGGAAUCUUCCGCAAUGGACGAAAGUCUGACGGAGCAACGCCGCGUGAGUGAUGACGGCCUUCGGGUUUUAAAGCUCUGUUAAUCGGGACGCGGUACCGGAAUAGAAAGCCACGGCUAACUACGUGCCAGCAGCCGCGGUAAUUC